RNAcentral lists this ribosomal RNA (329 nucleotides) under uncultured eukaryote. Its description in RNAcentral is "partial 18S ribosomal RNA". It matches the Rfam family "Eukaryotic small subunit ribosomal RNA", at positions 1470 to 1796 of the family's 1831-position model. The record is from RNAcentral.
CCCUUAGAUGUUCUGGGCCGCACGCGCGCUACACUGAUGCGUUCAACGAGUUUACAACCUUGAUUGAUAGGUCUGGGUAAUCUUUUGAAUGCGCAUCGUGCUAGGGAUAGAUUAUUGCAAUUAUUAAUCUUGAACGGGGAAUUCCUAGUAAACGCAAGUCAUCAGCUUGCAUUGAUUACGUCCCUGCCCUUUGUACACACCGCCCGUCGCACCAAAUGAUUGAAUGUGUUGGUGAAAUAUUGGGAUAUUAUGUUUUGGGACUUUAUUGGCCUGAAACGUGAUAGAACUGCAUUAAACCACUACAUUUAGAAUCUGGUGAAGUCGUAACA